This 201-nucleotide long non-coding RNA is filed under the name Elaeis guineensis (African oil palm). Its description in RNAcentral is "long non-coding RNA (EGUI_LNC060677)". Lineage: Eukaryota; Viridiplantae; Streptophyta; Magnoliopsida; Arecales; Arecaceae. The record is from RNAcentral.
UGGUGUGAGUGGUCCUUUGAUCUGCUGUGUCAUUGGCUAUUCGUAGCGAGUCUACUGAGUUUGACUACACAUUCUCUUGGUCUCUAGCCAUUCAGGUCCUUGCUGUGUAUGUUGGCUUCAGUAGGUUCAGAUUCGCUGUUUGGAGUAGGAUGCACCUAGAAGGAAUCUAUCGAUCUUGAUAGAAAAGGAGAAGUGCUAUAC